CCCUUAGAUGUUCUGGGCCGCACGCGUGCUACACUGAGUGGAUCAGCGGGUCAGGUUGCGCGAAAGCGUUUCCUAAUCUUGAAAUCCGCUCGUGAUGGGGAUUGACGGUUGCAAUUUUCUGUCAUGAACGAGGAAUACCUUGUAAGCGCGAGUCAUCAUCCCGCGCUGAAUACGUCCCUGCCCUUUGUACACACCGCCCGUCGCUCCUACCGAUUGAGUGGUCCGGUGAGGCUUUGGGAUCUGGGCGGAAAGAGCGUUUCGCUCGUUCUGCCCGGAAAACUCAGUCGAACCUUAUCAUUUAGAGGAAGGAGAAGUCGUAACA
This 322-nucleotide ribosomal RNA is filed under the name uncultured eukaryote. RNAcentral's name for it is "partial 18S ribosomal RNA". It matches the Rfam family "Eukaryotic small subunit ribosomal RNA", at positions 1470 to 1796 of the family's 1831-position model. The record is from RNAcentral.